Molecule: ribosomal RNA, 197 nt
Filed under: uncultured bacterium
Lineage: Bacteria
Description: partial 16S ribosomal RNA
Rfam family: Bacterial small subunit ribosomal RNA
Source: RNAcentral
ACGCUCGACACCUACGAGAGGCAGCAGUGAGGGAUAUUGGUCAAUGGGGGAAACCCUGAACCAGCAACGCCGCGUGAGGGAUGACGGUCUUCGGAUUGUAAACCUCUGUCCUCUGUGAAGAUAAUGACGGUAGCAGAGGAGGAAGCUCCGGCUAACUACGUGCAGCAGCCGCGGUAAUCUGAGCGGGCUGGCAAGGC